RNAcentral lists this ribosomal RNA (253 nucleotides) under uncultured bacterium. RNAcentral's name for it is "partial 16S ribosomal RNA". It matches the Rfam family "Bacterial small subunit ribosomal RNA", at positions 524 to 776 of the family's 1533-position model. The record is from RNAcentral.
GACGAACCACACAAACGUUAUUCGGAAUUACUGGGCUUAAAGGGUGCGUAGGCGGCGCGGAAAGUUGGGUGUGAAAUCCCUCGGCUCAACCGAGGAACUGCGCCCAAAACUACCGUGCUCGAGGGAGAUAGAGGUGAGCGGAACUUAGGGUGGAGCGGUGAAAUGCGUUGAUAUCCUAAGGAACACCCGUGGCGAAAGCGGCUCACUGGGUCUUCUCUGACGCUGAGGCACGAAAGCCAGGGGAGCAAACGGG